Molecule: ribosomal RNA, 465 nt
Filed under: uncultured Actinobacteridae bacterium
Lineage: Bacteria; Bacillati; Actinomycetota; Actinomycetes
Description: bacterial SSU rRNA
Rfam family: Bacterial small subunit ribosomal RNA
Source: RNAcentral
GAGAUUUGGGUAGUCCGCACGAGCGCACCCUGAUCCUAUGUUGCCAGCAAGUAAUGUUGGGGACUCAUGGGAGACUGCCGGUGAUAAACCGGAGGAAGGUGGGGAUGACGUCAAGUCAUCAUGCCCCUUAUGUCCAGGGUCUGCACGCAUGCUACAAUGGCAAGUACAACGAGUCGCAAUAUCGCAAGAUGGAGCAAAUCUCUUAAAGCUUGUCUCAGUUCGGAUAGGAGUCUGCAACUCGACUCCUUGAAGUUGGAGUCGCUAGUAAUCGCAAAUCAGCAAAGUUGCGGUGAAUACGUUCUCGGGGUUUGUACACACCGCCCGUCAAGUCACGGAAGUCGGCAAUACCCGAAGCCUGUGGUCCAACCCUUUUGGGAGGAAGCAGUCGAAGGUAGGGUCGGUAACUGGGACUAAGUCGUAACAAGGUAGCCGUACGGGAACGUGCGGCUGGAUCACCUCCUUUCU